AAUUUCGUGGUUUUGUGGUCAUAGUCAGUUUUGGUAACAACGCAGAACGUCCCCAGUUCGAUCCUGGGCGAAAUCA
This 76-nucleotide transfer RNA is filed under the name Saccharomyces cerevisiae (brewer's yeast). The record is from RNAcentral. Lineage: Eukaryota; Fungi; Ascomycota; Saccharomycetes; Saccharomycetales; Saccharomycetaceae.